Molecule: long non-coding RNA, 10063 nt
Filed under: Marmota monax (woodchuck)
Lineage: Eukaryota; Metazoa; Chordata; Mammalia; Rodentia; Sciuridae
Source: RNAcentral
CGAGGGUGGGGGCUUCGGGCGGUGCUGGGAGGCGGGGAGCCGGGCAACCCGAGCGGCGGGAGGAGUGCGGAGUCGGGAGUGGCCAGCCAAUCAGGAGGGCAGUGCCACCUCAGGGAAUGACGCUCGGGCCAAUGGGACGGGCACUCCAUUCCGUCAACGCCGUGGGUCGGGGCUCUGAGAAAAGAGAGCAGGGUGGGAGUCGGGCCAGGCGGGUGUGUACCCAGGGGAGGGGAGACGCGAGAGAAGUUCCUGCGAAGAACUGCGGGAAUGUGCGGCUGGAAUUCACUCUCCUCCCGCCUGGGCUGCCGAGGGAGCGCUGGGCCCGGCUCACGGAUUCCCUGCCACUUCCAAUAGCGCGGCCCAGGGUCCCUCCGCCGCCCGUCACUCCAUCCCUGGGAUUCCAGUGCCUUAAGAAAGACGCGCUGUUCAAGAAGGCACGUUCGUUCUGUUCCGUGUUUCCCCCUCCGUUUCAUUAUUCUCCUUUUCACAAUUGCUGAAACCAUAAUGAUGGAAUGGAAUGUGGAGCCUUCCGUUUUCUUUCUUUCUUUUUCUUUCUUUCUUUCUUUCUUUCUUUCUUUCUUUCUUUCUUUCUUUCUUUCUUUCUUUCUACGCUAAAGCUUAGCAAAAGAAAAGAGAAAGCCGAAUCGAAUGCAGGGUUUUUUUUUUUGUUUUGUUUUUUUGGUGAAGGAAAAUAUAAAUAAAACAAAACCGCCAGGGGUUUUUCUUUUACUCAUCAAAUGCAUAAGUGGGCUAAGGAAAUGCGAUUGCCUUGUACAUAAAUUAGAGCGCGUAAAGAUUAAAAAUGCAUGGGCAAGGAGUAUUUAAAAUUCUGCUAUGACAUAUAAUAUUAAUCCGUUUUAUGUAAAAUUCAUACCUGUAACUUAAUUUAGGCCAUUAAUGCACCACUUCACGCAUUAGCGUAUCCUGCUUUAAAUAAGGUGGUGAGAAUGUCCACAGUCUCCUUUGGCAACAAAGCAUAAAAUUCACACUUCCAGUCCUGAGAUCCUGCUUGGGCCCCACCCUGCAAAAACGCCUGUUCAUUAAGGACGUUUUGUGUUCGAUUUCUAACGGAAAAGCUGUCCUUCAAGGGUUCAAAAUUAAACUGCACAAUGAACUCUGGUGGGGCGUUGUGUGUACCCUUCAAGAAAUAAUUAAGCCCUUCAGAUGAGAAAUGAGCAUAAAAACUCUUAGUUAGUGGGGAAAUGAAUUUUGAGUGGCUUCACCCUGCAAACCCUCCCACCUUUAGACACGCUUGGAGAUGAAUUAUCCCAAGAAUUUUCUUCCUUCAUGUACAUGGCAUGGAUUGCUGUCUUCAUUUUCAUUGAAAAUUGAGAGAAAGAGAUGUGGAGCCCAUUUCUUCGGGUCUACCCCCUGUGUGGACUUGGUUUUCUUCCUGUCUGCCUCCCUUCCCAGAACUGAAAUACUUGCAGAAGACAAGUAUUUUGUUUCACCAUGUGGCUACUUUAUGACAAUUGCACUAUUUCCCCAGAGCACAUUCCUUUUUCCUGAUGAAGGAAGAGCAACUAUUUAAUACUGGCUUCACAGGUAGAUGCAGUAACCUCCUGUCCCCUAAACCUCAUUCCUUGCUGCCUCUAAUAUUUGUUUAGAAGCAAAUGACACUCUCAUUUAUGUAUGUGCCUGUGUAGGAUAGUCUCCAUUUAUCAAGAAAAUCAGAAUUAUACAAGUCAAAAGAAGGAUUUUCUUCUCAAACCAGGCCUAAUCCUAUACAUUUGUAAAGUAAUAUAAAUAUACACAGAGAAUACUGUGAUUUUAGACAGAUGGGGGGGGGGAGCCCCAGUGGGUGGAAGCUAUUUUCUUGGAGCCUGUCCUAUCAGCACAGAUGAUAAUGAUAAAUGGAUAUAUGUACAGAUGUUUUUGUUCCAUGAUUUUUCUUGUAUAUAGAAUUUAAAAUCUGCUUCCAAAUGAAAAACCCAAGAUUUUUCAAAAUUGAAGUAUGUGAAUGUGUCCAGGGCACACCCAUAUUUAAAAAUUUUAUAUAUCCUAACUUGAUUAAAAUUUAAGUUUUAAGUAUGUGACACAAAGGAACAAUCAUAUUUAUCAUUUUGGAUUUUGCUAGAUCUCAAAGAGACCCACACCUUGGGUGUGGCCAAUGCCAAAUGCCACAGUUUCAAGUUUUGUUGGAGGUGGUUUUUGUGUCUGACUGAAAGUUAGAAAGGGUGACUUUCUUUGGGAGACGGGAGUUCAAAGGAUUUAUCAUAGCCACUUGAUCAAGAACAUCCAGGAAAACUGUGAUCUCCAAAUCCUGCCAGCAGAGUAGGCAGGAGCAGUUAACUGUAUUCCUCGUUUUGAAGGUGGGAAGACAUGAAGACUUUGGAAAAAAAAACCCAUAAAACUUUAUAUAGUAGGAAUAAGAAUAUGAUCCUGUCCUUUUUGACCCAUGAAACUAGAGAAUAGUAGAGGCUACACGCUGAAUGUUGUUUUCUUAGCCAUAGGCACUGAGAUGAUGUCAAAAACCUGAAAUCAUAAGAUUCCUGGCACUGAGAGUUCAAAACAGAGUUCAUUCAGCAGUUACCAGGUUUUGAAUAAACUGUGCAAGCCACAUUAUUUCUACUGCUCAGAGAAAGACAUUUAGUUUACCUGUGGCUCUUGCUUUAAUAUCAAAGUGUUUUACUUGCGCUUGUGAAAAUGAGGUGGGCUGGCCCAGAGCUCAUUACAAUGGACAUUCUAGGGCCCCUCACACUCACCUCAGUGGGCCUGGGGUGAAACAUGAUAGAAGGAGCACUAGGAAACCUUGGUGACCGGGGUCGUGUACAUACCCCUCCCAGGACAAAGAGAUCUGCAGUGCUAUCUGGGAAGCAUUCUGAAUGCCAGUCGGCCCUUGCAGAUCUGGGACACCCAGGCUCCGAGAUUUCACAGUCACCCUGUUUACCCUAAACAGGGGUACCCAAGCAUACGGGGCUGUUCAGCCUGAUGUCUCUAGGAGUGGAUACUUUCUUCUUCAAGGACUGGUGGGGAAUAGUGGGUGGGCUCAGACCUACAGAAAAACAUGUGUUCCAUACCUUGGUCACUCUCUAGGUGUAAGUGGUUGCUGAAGGAGGUACACACAUUCUUUGGGAGCAUAAGAAACCACUCUGUACUCUACAGCCAGAAUGGCCCUUGCUCCAAAAGAGUAAGUUGGGCAAUGUCGGAACUGGAGCUCAAGGCUGCUGUAUAAGCACUAGUGCUGAUACAAACUUACUCCUGUUGCCUUUAGGUUGCUGAGGCCAGGCUGGAAAUACUGAUAACCUCUUGGUUUGCUCAGUCUUACAAAAAAGGCUUACAGAAAAAGGAUGUUGUAAAUUCAGUGUGGCCUACUAGACAUGGCCCCGCAAAAUACCCAUCCCAGGAGGUUUUCAAGGUAGUCUGGUUUAAUAAGAUGUAGCUAUGUUUUAAAAAGUCCUCCUCAGGCUGGCGGGGGGGGGGGAGGAAGGAAAAAAUGGCAUUUGUUUUACCUUGGAGACAUGAAGAGUUUAGGUUCUGAAGUCGAUAGAUAGUCUGUGCUCCAAUUUUGGCUUCCUUGCUAGUUACUUUUAUAUCAUUAAAAUAGCUUCGUAAACACCUGUACCUUUCAAUUACAAUAAAAAUUAUAUGUACUUCAUAAGGUGCUUAUUCAAUACACACACACUUAAAUGGCCUCUGGGCAAGAAAGUGUGUUAAGUGAAUGUCACAUAGUAAGUGGGCAAUGUUAAAAAUUUUGUUGCUUUUGAUAAAUAUUAUCUCACAGUCUGUGGCUUGUCUUUAUAUUCACUUCAUCUCUUUCAAGAGCAGAAGUUUUAAAUUUUGGUGAAGUCCAGUUUGUCAGUGUGUCCUUAAUUCAGGGUGACAUAGAUUUUCUCCUAUGUUCAGGUAUCUGGUCCUUGUUUUCUGUAUUAUGUUUAAGUCUAUGAUUUAUUCUGGAGGUUUUUUUUUUUGUAUGUGGUGCAAGAUAUGGGUGAAUAUUGAUACUUUUGCAUAUUUUAAUUCAGUUGUUCCUGAAACUUUUGUUGAAAAACUUCUUUUUGCCUUAAAUUGCCUUUGCGGUUUUGUCAAAAGUCAUUGUAUAUAGGUGUCCUUCUAUCUGUCCUCUAAAUUCUGCUCCAUUCUUCUACUUACUAGUUUUUAUGCACAACCAUGUUGUGUUUAUUACUAUAGCUUCAUACUAAGCCUUGAAAGCAGAUAAUGUUGGCCAUUGAGCUUCCUGCUGUGUUCCUCUUUUUGACUAUUCUGGAUAUAUUGCAUUUUCAUAUGAAUUUUUGAGUCAGUUUGUGAAUUCCUUCCAAGAAGGACUUACAUUCAAAACAUAUAAGGCACGGAGAACUCACUAGGAGAGUGCCUGUGUAGCAUGCAUGAGCCUCUGGGUUUGAUUCCUAGCACAGAAAAAAAAAGUGUUCACAAAACAUAUAAAGUAUCUCUACCCAUGAUAUAUAAAGAACUCUCAAAUUCAACAGUAAGAAAGUGAACAACCCCAGUUUUAAAAGUGGGCAAAAGAGUUGACCAGACAACCUAGUAAAGAAGAAAUAAAAAUGGUAGAUGAAUACAUGACAAGCUGCUUGAUAUCAUUAGUCAUACGAAGCAUACAUUUCACAACUACAAUGAAGCAUUACCACAUACCUGUGAAAACUGCUAAAAUUAAAGACUGAACAUGCUAAGUAUUGGUGAUUCUGGAGAGCAGCUAUCAUGAACUGUUGGUGGAUAGGAAUAUAAAACGAGGAAGACUACCUUGGAAAAGAAUUUGGCAGUUUCUUAAAAAGUUAAACAUUGCCAGAGGUGGUGUGUGUAAGCCCACCUACUAGGGAGGUCAAGGGAGGAGGAUCACAAGUUUGAGGCCAGCCUCAGCAAUUUAGCAAGACCCUGUCGCAAAACAAAUAGGGCUGGGGAUGCAGCUCAGUGGUAAAGCACCCUUGGGCUCAGUUCAAUCCUCAGUAAAACACACACACACACACACACACACACACACGGUAAACAUACCAUCAUAUGGCCCAUCCAAUCCACUGCUAGGCAACUGUUCUAGUCCAAGAGAAAUCUAACUAUCUGUCAGAGGGCCAUGAGGGGGCAUGGAGAGGCAUAGGAAUGGUGGGUGUGUUCAUUAUUUUGUUUGCCCUACAUCAUGUUACUCUGAGCCAGCUAUCACAGCAUCAACCAAAUAGUGGCAAGCUGCCUCCAACGAAGGUACGAGGCGUGGACUGCUGUAGUGGACCAGCCGCUGUGGCUGUCUGUGACCACGGUCUUUCACUGGCUAUAAAUGAACCAUGCUGAAAACCACACCCUUGUUUCAUGUUGUUCUGGUGCGACAUGGAUUCAAUACUCUGAGGAGGACCAACCUAAUUAUUGGAAAUAUUCUCGCUGUGCAAACAGUGUUCUGCACUCCUGCCCCUGCGCUUCCUCCGGCUGGAGCCUCUGCUACCUCAAUCACCCCAAGUUGCAGCUGCUUUGGUGAGAACCCCCAGUGGGUGGAGAGGGAAGAAACCUCAUCAUGCCAUAUUCAGGGUGGUCUAGUUUUUCUCCUUUGACUCUUUCCUUAGGAAGAAAGAUGAGCAUUCUAACAGGACUAAAUACCUUCUAUUGCUCUGUCUAGAGUAGGAAACAAAAAUUCCUAAUGGGUACCAUAUUUUUCCCCCCAAAGCUCUGUUACUUGAUGCUGCAGUCUGGCUGGGCACAAAUCACCGAGCCGCCACAAAGCACUUGUAUCUUCAAACAGGAAACCUUAUUGCCUGAACUCCAACAGAACUCCACACACACUCUCCAGGAACUCUCCCGAAGGCCACCCACGUGGCCCCCAGGAACACCACACACCAACCGGAACUCCCUCCACUGUGCUGCAUGCGCAUUCACUCUCAGAACCGUGAGAACUCCACGGGAACUUCAAAGUGGAGGGCAUCCGAGGCAGCAAAAGCCGCCCUAUUAUGGUGUAAAGGUCUAAUAUACAAUUGAAUCAAUCCAGCAUCAUCUUAAUGGCUCGCCUCUGAACCAUUACUUCUGGCAAAAUGCCAGGGGCCAUUCCGACUUGGCUGUGGCUCUCAACAACUUGAUCUGUUACUCAGAUCUCUUUGUGACAGGAGGGAGGAAUCCUAGGGAUAGACUGAGGAUUAACUGGUUUUGAAAGUCCCAGAUAAGCAAUGGAGAGGAAUAAUUUGUGCAUGCUGGUCCUGCUUAGUGUCCUCUGAUGUCUAUGCUGGUAUUGAGGGGGGCUCUUAGGAGGUAAAAUGGUCGUGAGGAUGCCAAGAAGUUCAAGGGUUUGCUUUUGCUCUGUGGUAUUUUAAGCAGAGAAAUUCAGGGCAAGGAUAUUACUACUAUUUAAAAAUUCAACCCAGAGGAUGUAGAUGUGCUGAUGUUGCUGCAAUUUUGUUUCAUCCAGUUAUUGUCACGAGGAGAGUCAUCACCAAGCACUAGUCCCUUCACAGAGCAAACUGUUGCUAGAGUCACACUAACGAAGGGGUUUUAAUUCUAUUUCUCUUUCCUAUAAGAGAAUAUGAAAUAAUUCCAAGAUACUGUAUUUAAUGUGUUUUGACUAUGUAGAGGAAACACUGAAACAACAAACAAAUGGCAAAUCACAUUUUGAAACUGAAUACUGAUCAUGCCGUGAGUCCAUCUUGGUAAAUCUGCCUUUAUGGAAGAAAAAGCUCUCCCGUUUGGUUGAUAUCUAGGUCAUGGUUCCUAAGAACUGAUACAAUGUUCAAGACACUUGCAACUUUUUUUUUCCCUGAAGAGGAAUUUUUCAGAGAUUUUUGUAGACCCCCACGCAGUUGCCAUGGGCUGUGGGAUAGGAGGUGGUUCCAGGGAGCUUGGUCCCCGCAGCAGCAAAGGCUGUGUGGAAAGCAGGAGAAUGGUAUGAAAACUCACUUGUUUGUGAAAUAAUCAAAGGAGUGCAGUUUCUCUACUAGUAAAAUGGGCAGUAAAUCUUAAAGGAAUUAAAGAUGCAGAAUUAAAGGAAAAUGAGCGGCUUAACUGUGCUUUAUGAAUACUGGUAAUUCUAUGUUAGGACAGUCCAGUUUAAAUGAACCAUCUUCAGGGAAGGAAUUAUAAAAAUCUAAUUUUUUGUUCUUGAAGAGAAUUAAAUCAAAUACAUAAUCUUUGGGGAUUAAAAGUCUUAAUCAAAUAUCUUUUUCUUAAAAUAUGACUCGUUGACAAAAUAAUCCCAAAGUGUGACCCAACAUUGUAUUCUUGGUCUGCUGUAAUUAUAUUUACCAUUUUGAAAACAUCUUGUUCAUGAAGUUAAAGUUAAUGCUUGAUUGUCUGUUUAUAUCAUGUUUUCAAAACGGGUAAAAUGGGUGUCACCAGGAAGGAAUAUGACAGUGACAGGGACAGCACUGCAAAAAUGCAAAGUACGUUUUCAUCACGGUGUGUAGGCACAGGACUGGAGCCACCGGACAUAAAGGAACUGGCUAAAGAUGUUUUUAACAUGGUCAUCCAUCCAUUCUUCUGUGUUCGUCUGGAAUCUACAACCUGUAGUAUAUGAAAUGCUUUUGCCUCUCAGCAGACUGCUAAGUGGACAGUGUUUGGCACCUUCCAACGCUGUGCAUUAACAGUAUCUCCAGACAUGCCAGCUCCCAUCUCUGGUAACACAGAGGGAAUAAUGGAAAUGCUUUCUUUAUUCAGCUUCUAGAAAACCAUCCUCAUGUGCUAAUGACACAUAUGCUUAAAACCUCUCUACUUGAAUUCUACCAAAACUAACUCUCCCUCCCCACCUGUAAGAUGCUGUUAACUUAUCCUUCUCCAAAACUGUUCCAACAGCAUUCAAGUCAAUUCGAGUCAAGCCAAAACAAACAUGUAUGGUACAUCUAUUAUAGGACAAGACUGUGUUUAAAAAACAGGAAGUCCCUCACUCUUUACAGAGCUUGCUGUUUAGACAAUGUUUGAAUGAACUGAAAAUCAGUUAAUGCAAUUCAGUAUGUACAGGCAAGGAUAGAGCACGGCGGGGGCAGAGGCCAAAGCCUGCAGUAAAGGCAGCUUCAUACAGGAAGGGAGAGUUGCCAGGGUGGCCAGAGGGAUGGCUUCAUCAAGGGAGACAUCCCAGAUGGUGGGAAGAGCAUCUGCAGAAGUGUGGAGGAGAGCCCCUGCAAGGGUCUCGCUGGUUCUCUGCUUCAGCUGGCCCACUCUGAAAUUUCUUACAUUCAGUUAGUCCCUCCCUUCCUCAUCUCAUGCUAGCCUUCCUAUGUUAAGUGUUUCCCACUUGCUCUUGUUCUUCAGUGCAAUCAAAAACAUGUUGGGACGUAGUGAUACACAGCCUCUUCCUCCAGGAAACCAUCCAUCAUUCAUUCCCUGAUGAUAAUCACUUAAAAAUAACAUUGGUUUUUCAUUUUGCAAUCAAAGCAUAUACAUAUUGAAAAAAAUCAGAAAAUACAGACAAACAUAAAAUGGAAAUAAAGGUCAUCCACGAACCCACACCCAGAUAAAAACCUCUGUGACUAUUUUAUUGUACAUACGUCCAGAUUUUCCCCACCCAUGUGGAUAUUUUUCCUUGAACAAAAAUUACAGUGUACAAUACUUAUCCUUGGAAAUCUAAUUUUUUGCUUCAUGUAAUGUGGAUCUAUUUCCUAAACAAAACUUACCUGUGGCACAACUUCUGCGGUUGCAUAGGAUUCUUGCUUGGAUCUGCCUUAACCUAUUUAACAAACACUUUAUUACAAAUAUUUUUAUUAUUUCCAUUUUUGUCAUGUUCUCUUAUCAUGUCUGAUGGGUUUAUUUCAUCUUAAUAUUACACAUUACCCAACAGGUUGCAUUUGUUGACAUGUUACUGUGCAAUUACUUUCAAGUUAUGUGAGUGCUAUGGUUUGGGUGUGUCCGCUGGAAUUCAAGUGUUGGAACCAAAUGUCUAGUCAUAUGUUAAUGAUGGGGGCGAGACCUUUGAGAGGUGACUGCAUCAAUAGGGAUCUGCCCUGAUGAAUGGACUCAUCCAUUCAUGGGUUAAUGGAUUAAUGGGAUAUUGAGGAAGUGAGUUAGGUAUCCCAAGGGUGGAUGUGUUAGGAAAUCUAGAUUGGCCAUCUUUCAUGAGCCCCCUCACCAUGUCAUGCCCAGAACUGCCUUGGAAUUCUACAGAGUUCCCACCUGAGGAAUGCCCUCCCCAGAUGCAAGUCCUUGACCUUGGACUUCCUAGCCUCUAGAACUAUAAGAAAUUAAUUUCUUUCAUUUAUAAAUUAACCAAUCUCAGGCAUUUUAUUAUAGCAACAGAAAACAGGAAGACAGGAUUGUGUAUCUGUAGGUCUUCCAUGAAGUCAAAGCAUCUUAGAGACAUGGGCAAUUUUUCCUUAUUAGGAAUUAUUCAUAUAUAGCAAGUGUUCACUGCUGCUCAGAUGGGUUGGCACAGUCUGCUAGGAUGACAUCUGAAUGAACAUUUGUCUGGGGGUGACCUGCAGAUGUUGUCCACCGUUCAAACAGUGGCUGGCCUGUUGGAAUGGAGAACAAAAGGAACAGGAGCAGAUAGUAGUGGAUCCACUGGUUCAGCAGAUGGCCCAAGAAGGUUCCAAUUCGCUUCCCAGGAAGCUUUAGGAAACCUGCUAGAACUUUAGAUGAUGAAUUUGCUAGAGAUUUUCUCAGGUGAGGAAAGGACAGACCACACUGGGGGGGUGGGGGUGGAGCAGAUCACCUGAUGCUGGAGAUCAAGCGUGGGAGCCAUGCAAGGGGGUCUCAGUGCAGCUACAGGUCUUGCUGCUUCUUGCUCCACUCUGGAUUCACAGCUACACUAAACUUCCUGUUCCUUCCUUCAACUCUUUAUUUCUUGCUCAAUCAUCUUCUGCAACCGAGACAUGAACACAGUUCCAGACAAGGUGGCAAUGAAGUUGAUGUCCCUCUGCACACCACCCAGCCAUCCGACUCACCUCAUUGGUUCCAGGUGUUUUAUUCACCUGGAUCAAGCCAGUUUUCUUCUGAAGUUAUAGUGACCCCCACACUUGUAAUCUUAAAGGGGGAAAAAACACUCUCUGUUUGUUGGUCAAAACCUAAACAAGGAAUAAAUAGUAAAAUGCAAUUUUUGCCAGAUUCCUUUUGGAAAUUCAGAUGCUCAUUCAUUUUAUUGAACAGCCAAACAGAGCUGUGUAACUUAAGAUAGUGGUUCCAGUGAACGGACCAACAGAUGAGGUAGAGAGGG